Molecule: long non-coding RNA, 207 nt
Filed under: Elaeis guineensis (African oil palm)
Lineage: Eukaryota; Viridiplantae; Streptophyta; Magnoliopsida; Arecales; Arecaceae
Description: long non-coding RNA (EGUI_LNC040720)
Source: RNAcentral
GGCGCCCUCUUUCUUCCUCCUUCAUGCCCCUUCCUUCCUCUUAUUCUCCACAUCCUUGUUCUCACUCUAGAUCAGAUCUGAGAGAGGCUUUAGAGAGGAAAAAGAAAAUUAAGAAGGGUUCUUGAUAUUUUUUGGUGGUUAGGAUCAAACUCCAGGAUCAAACAACAGGGCUGCUUCAAGUGAUAUAAGGAAAAAGAUCCUGGUCCA